UGGCGUCACCGGGGGUGGCCCGCCGCAACGGCGGGUCUGAGAGAGUCCCCAGGAACCUGAUCCGGCUCAUACCGGCGGAGGGAGAGUGACAGGCCGCGCCC
RNAcentral lists this non-coding RNA (101 nucleotides) under Deinococcus maricopensis. RNAcentral's name for it is "TPP sequence". It matches the Rfam family "TPP riboswitch aptamer (THI element)". From Rfam's summary of the family: Vitamin B(1) in its active form thiamin pyrophosphate (TPP) is an essential coenzyme that is synthesised by coupling of pyrimidine and thiazole moieties in bacteria. The previously detected thiamin-regulatory element, thi box was extended, resulting in a new, highly conserved RNA secondary structure, the THI element, which is widely distributed in eubacteria and also occurs in some archaea. Analysis of operon structures identified a large number of new candidate thiamin-regulated genes, mostly transporters, in various prokaryotic organisms. RNAcentral also lists the same sequence under 1 other name. Lineage: Bacteria; Thermotogati; Deinococcota; Deinococci; Deinococcales; Deinococcaceae. The record is from RNAcentral.